GACGAACGCUGGCGGCGUGCCUAAUACAUGCAAGUCGAACGCAGUGGGGACGGGUGAGUAACACGUGGGUAACCUCCCAUCAGAGGGGAUAACACUUGGAAACAGGUGCUAAACCGAUAUUGAUGUAUGGACCCGCGGUGCAUUAGCUAGUGGGUGAGGUAACGGCCCACCAAGGCCACGAUGCAUAGCCAACCUGAGGGGGUGUUCGGCCAACCUGGGACUGGGCCCCGGCCCAUACUCCUACGGGAGGCAGCAGUGGGGAACCUUCGGAAAGGGACGAAAGUCUGACCGAGCAACGCCGCGUGAGUGAAGAAGGUUUCCGGAUCGUAAAACUCUGUUGUUAGAGAAGCGGUAUCUAACCAGAAAGCCACGGCUAACUACGUGCCAGCAGCCGCGGUAAUAC
Molecule: ribosomal RNA, 403 nt
Filed under: uncultured bacterium
Lineage: Bacteria
Description: partial 16S ribosomal RNA
Rfam family: Bacterial small subunit ribosomal RNA
Source: RNAcentral